UAUUUUUCAAAAAAUCAUUUCUAGUUAAAUCCUUAAGAAAAUAGCUACCUUGUGCUUAACUCCAGAAAUUCCCAUCUUCUGACACAAUCUUACACAUGUUAACGUGACACUCCAGUUUAAAUUUCGUGGCAAUCGGAGUUGUAGAACUCCGGUUAUAGCGAUUUUCGUCGGAAAAUCACAAAAAUUGAAAUGGUCAUAACUUGGUCGUUUUAACUCGGAAUUAGCUCAUUUUUGGACACGAGCUACAUAAUACCAUAUAUUUUCAUUUUCCAAAAGCCCGGAAUUUUUCUCAGAAGAAAAGUUGACAAAACAGCCCUUGCAAAAUAUUAGCAGCUUACUUUUUGUACUUUGGCAGUUUUGGAGUCCUUUACCAAAACUUAAAUAAAA
This 387-nucleotide long non-coding RNA is filed under the name Panax ginseng (ginseng). RNAcentral's name for it is "long non-coding RNA (PGIN_LNC000382)". The record is from RNAcentral. Lineage: Eukaryota; Viridiplantae; Streptophyta; Magnoliopsida; Apiales; Araliaceae.